GGCUGGCCUUGAAUUUGUGGUGCUCCUGCCUCAUCUUCUAGGAUUACAGCUAAGUCACUAAAUUGCCCAGGCUGGGACUGAAUUUGCAGUCCUCCUGCCUCAGCCUACCAGAGUGCUGGGAUUACAGGUGUGCUCUACCACUCCUAGUCUGAGGAUUCUAAUCAGGAUAAAUCUUGGAAUUCAUUCUUGGAAUGCUGAGCAGAACGGAGCAUCUCCAUGAGGAGGGAUAAUCAAAUAAAUGUGCUAUGUUGGACACUGUGACGGGAAGAAGAUGGAAGAGAGAGGAUGUGAGCAUGUAUAUUUGAAGACGAGGGAAAGAGUGGCUGUGGCAGAAAAAUCAACUCGUACACUGAGUGAGUCAUGUGCAGUUUUCCGGAGUACACAGACUCUUCACCUAUGGUUGGAUUCCCAGGGGACCAUGGUUCCUAAGGGUCUUGCCAGGCUGCCCAGGCUGGGGACUUGAACUUGC
Molecule: long non-coding RNA, 469 nt
Organism: Heterocephalus glaber (naked mole-rat)
Lineage: Eukaryota; Metazoa; Chordata; Mammalia; Rodentia; Bathyergidae
Source: Ensembl